GUAGGGCUCCUGCACGCUCAGAGUGGCCUUGGCCAGGAAGUCCAGGGUUUCCGCAGGCAGAGUGUAUGAACAAGGUACUGAGAAGAUCACAUACUGCAUGUCCUCCUAAAACCUGGUCCUGGCAUAACCUUCUAAGCUGUUUUAUUCAGGUUUGGCAGAUACAUCAAGCCAGUUCAUUAAUGCACAGAUGAUUCCUUCACAUUAAGAAAGACACGUUGGAGCACCAUAAAUGUCAAGGCAGUUAUUACACACAAAAAGCAUAAAAUGGCAACCAUCAAAAGAUUCAUAGCCAAAAGGGACUUGCCUUAUCUCAGUUGAGGCUUUGGACUUGGAACUUUGAGAAUAACCAGCAAUGUUCCAGAAAUUAUCUGCUCUCUCGCCCUGGUCUCAACUUGCAGAAGAUGGGAAGCAGAGCUCCCAGCCUGCCCAAGAUGAA
Molecule: long non-coding RNA, 436 nt
Filed under: Homo sapiens (human)
Lineage: Eukaryota; Metazoa; Chordata; Mammalia; Primates; Hominidae
Description: HSALNT0325801
Source: RNAcentral